Molecule: ribosomal RNA, 471 nt
Filed under: Triticum aestivum (bread wheat)
Lineage: Eukaryota; Viridiplantae; Streptophyta; Magnoliopsida; Poales; Poaceae
Description: partial small subunit ribosomal RNA
Source: RNAcentral
AUGGGCUCCAACGCCGUCGGCCUCAACCUCGGCGCCCCACCAACAGAGAAGCUCGCGAGGGGGAACUACCUCUUAUGGAAGGCGCAAGUUCUGCCGGCCCUGCGAGGUGCGCAGGUGACCGGUCUUCUCGACGGCAGCGAUGCAGCGCCGCCGAAAACAGUGGAGGUCGCUAAGGCGGACAAGACCACGGCCAUCGAGCCGAAUCCGCUGUAUGGCCCAUGGAUUGCCAAGGAUCAGCAGUCGCAAUCGCGAAUAACAAACCUGAGGAUCGCCAUCUCCAACACCAAGAAGGGCAACAUGUCCAGCAACACUUUCAUCACCAAGAUGAAGAGCCUCGGAGACGAGCUUGCAGCAGCAGGUCGUCCGGUGACAGACGGAGAGAUGGUGGACUACAUCCUCGCCGGACUCGAUCGGAAUUACGAUCCCCGUCGUUGCAGCAGUUGGCGCCAUCAAGAAUUCAAUCUCUAUUGA